UACGUAGGGGGCAAGCGUUGUCCGGAAUCAUUGGGCGUAAAGAGCGUGUAGGCGGCCCGACAAGUCCGCCGUGAAAGUCCAGGGCUCAACCCUGGAAUGCCGGUGGAAACUGUCGGGCUGGAGUCCGGAAGAGGCGAGUGGAAUUCCUGGUGUAGCGGUGAAAUGCGCAGAUAUCAGGAGGAACACCAAUGGCGAAGGCAGCUCGCUGGGACGGUACUGACGCUGAGACGCGAAAGCGUGGGGAGCAAACAGG
RNAcentral lists this ribosomal RNA (253 nucleotides) under uncultured bacterium. RNAcentral's name for it is "partial 16S ribosomal RNA". It matches the Rfam family "Bacterial small subunit ribosomal RNA", at positions 524 to 776 of the family's 1533-position model. The record is from RNAcentral.